Molecule: long non-coding RNA, 204 nt
Filed under: Homo sapiens (human)
Lineage: Eukaryota; Metazoa; Chordata; Mammalia; Primates; Hominidae
Description: LHRI_LNC1506.1
Source: RNAcentral
CACCUCUUUCCUCUCUCUGUCUUCCUCCUACACCUGCCAUAUGGAACAUCUCAUUGUCGCUUGGCCUUCUGGUAUGGUAGGAGACUUCCUGAGUCCUCCCAGAAGCAGAAGCCACUAUGUUCCCUUUACAGCCUGCAGAACCGACAGUGCCGCCUGCAUCCCUGCAGCUCCAGCUCCAGCUCCAGCCAUGGCUGAAAGAUGCAC